Molecule: ribosomal RNA, 253 nt
Filed under: uncultured bacterium
Lineage: Bacteria
Description: partial 16S ribosomal RNA
Rfam family: Bacterial small subunit ribosomal RNA
Source: RNAcentral
UACAUGGGGUGCAAACGUUGCUCGGAAUUAUUGGGCGUAAAGCGCACGUAGGCGGUUUGUUAAGUCGGAUGUGAAAUCCCUCGGCUCAACUGAGGAAGUGCACCCGAAACUGGCAGGCUUGAGUACUAAAGAGGGUCGCGGAGUUCCCGGUGUAGAGGUGAAAUUCGUAGAUAUCGGGAGGAACACCGGUGGCGAAGGCGGCGACCUGGGUAGAUACUGACGCUGAGGUGCGAAAGCGUGGGGAGCAAACAGG